GUCGUGGUGGUGUUAGUGGUUAGCAUGUUAGCCUUCCAAGCUAAAUGGGUGGGUUCGAGUCCCAUUCACGACU
This 73-nucleotide transfer RNA is filed under the name Bacteriophage sp. RNAcentral's name for it is "tRNA-Gly". It matches the Rfam family "tRNA". Rfam says of the family: Transfer RNA (tRNA) molecules are approximately 80 nucleotides in length. Their secondary structure includes four short double-helical elements and three loops (D, anti-codon, and T loops). The record is from RNAcentral.